RNAcentral lists this ribosomal RNA (274 nucleotides) under uncultured bacterium. RNAcentral describes it as "partial 16S ribosomal RNA". It matches the Rfam family "Bacterial small subunit ribosomal RNA", at positions 523 to 796 of the family's 1533-position model. The record is from RNAcentral.
AUACGGAGGUGGCGAGCGUUGCCCGGAAUCAUUGGGUUUAAAGGGUCCGCAGGCGGUCAAUUAAGUCAGAGGUGAAAGCCCAUCGCUCAACGAUGGAACUGCCUUUGAUACUGGUUGACUUGAGUUAUACGGAAGUAGAUAGAAUAAGUAGUGUAGCGGUGAAAUGCAUAGAUAUUACUUAGAAUACCGAUUGCGAAGGCAGUCUACUACGUAUAUACUGACGCUGAGGGACGAAAGCGUGGGGAGCGAACAGGAUUAGAAACCCCAGUAGUCC